UUAGAGAAAAAUUUCAAAAAAACGCAUAAAACAAACUUUUAAUGUUUCAUUGAGGUUCAGUGAUUUUUUUUUAUUCCUUCUAAACUUUUGAAAUUAUUUUAAUUUUUCCGAGCGGGAGAUGAUUUGAGCUUAGUCAUCAAAGCUUGAUUUAAGUCUGGCUGGGUCAUGGGGUAUUUGACAUUUAUUAUUUGGAGUUGGUUCUAUAUCAUUCCUGGGUCGGUGAGCAGUUUGGCUGGCUUUUUGUCAUUGAUUUCUGCUGUUGAUUGCUGACACUACUCUGCUAAUACUUCAUUUCUGCUUUGAUUUCUUCCAAUUCCAGGGACUUAUCCUUGAUCUAAGCAUGUAGAAAUAGUUCAUAGGUGAUUUUAUUGAAGAAGAAAUGGAGAUAUUGUUUUCC
This 397-nucleotide long non-coding RNA is filed under the name Nicotiana benthamiana. RNAcentral's name for it is "long non-coding RNA (NBEN_LNC022832)". Lineage: Eukaryota; Viridiplantae; Streptophyta; Magnoliopsida; Solanales; Solanaceae. The record is from RNAcentral.